Coregonus clupeaformis (lake whitefish) is the source of this 917-nucleotide long non-coding RNA. RefSeq lists it as uncharacterized. Lineage: Eukaryota; Metazoa; Chordata; Actinopteri; Salmoniformes; Salmonidae. The transcript has 4 exons. The record is from RefSeq and is a predicted model, not a curated record.
AUGUGACAGUAGAUGAGAAUGGAGUGUACUACUGUGCAAAGAAAGAAAGUGAUAGUCUCCUAUUCAGCAAUGGAACCAGACUCAUGACCACUGGUAAGUGCACAUUUUAUUCAAUGAUCAACAUACUAUAUUUUGUGUAAAAUAUAAUUUUGAGAAGUGUUUUUGUUCAUGUUUAAAGCAGCAAGGUGCAAGACCACUACAGACAUUUUACAUCCACUUUGAGUAACAUAACUCAAAGUGGAUGUAGGCUAUACAUAUUUUCCAUAACCUUGCAGGUCUCAAAUCAAUCAAUGAAACAAGAAACACAAGUUUGAAGCUCCUUGAUCCUGAAGCCUCAGAGAAACCCAGAGACUUCAACACAAUGUGGCUAAAAGGUCUUCUCAUUGGAUCCGGGGUCUUGAAUGCAGUUCUCAUUUUAUUGGCGUCAGCCAUUUUAGUGCUGUGGAAGAGAGCUGCUUGGCACAAGAACCAUGACUCUCAUCCAACCCCUGAACCACCUGAAAGGGCAGACGGGCCAGAGUAUGAAGUGAUACAGCUGGUACCCCAACCGAUAGGACCAAGGCCAGACUGCAUAGCCUCAACUAUUUAUUCCAGAGUUCAGUUUCCAAAUCCUGAACUCACAACUCCUGCUUAAUAAGGUGCCAAAUCUGUAUCUACCCUUCCUCUUCAGUCUGGGUUUAACAUAUCUGGGCUGUUAUGAUAAUAGUUAUGACUUUGGUGGAUAAUGUGAACUACAAUAUGACUUUGGUAGAUAAUGUUAAUCAACUGUGAAUAUUAAUAUCUUUGUAUACAGUAUCUAAUGCUGCUCUUUGUCACUAUGGUCUUUAUACCAGCCAGCAAUAUCUUUCAAGGAAAUUGUUACUUUUGUGUCUUGAUUCAUGUUUUUCAUUGUUCAUUGCUGGAAAUAAGUUUUCAUU